GAUGAAGAACGUAGCGAAAUGCGAUAAGUAGUGUGAAUUGCAGAAUUCAGUGAAUCAUCGAAUCUUUGAACGCACAUUGCGCCUCCUGGUAUUCCGGGAGGCAUGCCUGUUCGAGCGUCAUUAAAAUCACUCAAGCUUAGGUUUACCUAUUGCUUGGUCUUGGAGAUGGAAGCCAAUUUAUUGGAAUCCUCUUCGAAAUUCAAUGGCGAAGACCCUUGCUCUCCCAAGUGUAGUAAUAACUUAUGUCACUGAAGGAAGCGAGAAAUCUUCUGCCGUAACCCCCAUAUUUUCUAUGAUUGACCUCGGAUCAGGUAGGGAUACCCGCUGAACUUAAGCAUAUCAAUAAGCGGAGGA
This 354-nucleotide unclassified non-coding RNA is filed under the name soil metagenome. Its description in RNAcentral is "partial contains 5.8S ribosomal RNA, internal transcribed spacer 2, and large subunit ribosomal RNA". The stretch from base 1 to 120 matches the Rfam family "5.8S ribosomal RNA", at positions 35 to 154 of the family's 154-position model. The record is from RNAcentral.